Molecule: long non-coding RNA, 409 nt
Organism: Nicotiana attenuata
Lineage: Eukaryota; Viridiplantae; Streptophyta; Magnoliopsida; Solanales; Solanaceae
Exons: 3
Source: RefSeq, a predicted model, not a curated record
UGCCGAAACAAAUCAAUUGCUGGCAAAUUGACCUGCAAUUGAGGAAGCAACUGCAGUUCAAAUGAACAAGGUUGUUGAACCCAGAUUUGCGACUUGAUCCUGACAUGUUAAGGUUCAGUGCACGUUCACUUGUAGAAGCUUCCUCUGCACAACAAGCUGCUGUUCAAGUAAACAGUCGACCAUCUGCUGGUAGUAACAAUCAAGGUGGAGUAGAUCAAGAAAUGGAUGAUGAAGACAAUGAAGAACUAGACCUUACUUGAGAAGAAUUUUGAAUUGUUUUAGAUGAAUGUUCUAGGAAUCUUUUGUUACCAACAUUUUUGAAACUUACUUACUCUCUUGAAAUGUACUAAACUUAUGCACUCAUGGGGUAGAACAUUUGCUUUAUGGAUAUUAUUUGCUUGAUGGAUAA